AAUCAACGCUGGCGGCGUGCUUAACACAUGCAAGUCGAUCGGUAACAGGUGUAGCAAUACAUGCUGACGAGAGGCGGACGGGUGAGUAAUGCUUGGGAAUCUGCCUAUUAGUGGGGGACAACCCGGGGAAACUCGGGCUAAUACCGCAUACGCUCUACGGAGGAAAGCCGGGGACCGCAAGGCCUGGCGCUAAUAGAUGAGCCCAAGUCGGAUUAGCUAGUUGGUAGGGUAACGGCCUACCAAGGCGACAAUCCGUAGCUGGUCUGAGAGGACGACCAGCCACACCGGAACUGAGACACGGUCCGGACUCCUACGGGAGGCAGCAGUGGGGAAUAUUGGACAAUGGGGGCAACCCUGAUCCAGCGACGCCGCGUGGGUGAAGAAGGCCUGCGGGUUGUAAAGCCCUUUCGGUGGGAAGAAAGUCUCGACCUAAUACGUCGGGACCUUGACGUAACCACUAAAGAAGCACCGGCUAACUCUGUGCCAGCCGCCGCCGU
This 497-nucleotide ribosomal RNA is filed under the name uncultured bacterium. Its description in RNAcentral is "bacterial SSU rRNA". It matches the Rfam family "Bacterial small subunit ribosomal RNA", at positions 32 to 521 of the family's 1533-position model. The record is from RNAcentral.